GGUUUGUAUGGGCUGCAGCCUGCCGCUGAGCUGCAUCAUGGUGCGGUCUGUGGCCUGGGCAGGUUUCAUGGUCCUGCUGAUGAUCCCAUGGGGCUCUGCUGCAAAACUGGUCUGCUACUUCACCAACUGGGCCCAGUACAGACAGGGGGAGGCUCGCUUCCUGCCCAAGGACUUGGACCCCAGCCUUUGCACCCACCUCAUCUACGCCUUCGCUGGCAUGACCAACCACCAGCUGAGCACCACUGAGUGGAAUGACGAGACUCUCUACCAGGAGUUCAAUGGCCUGAAGAAGAUGAAUCCCAAGCUGAAGACCCUGUUAGCCAUCGGAGGCUGGAAUUUCGGCACUCAGAAGUUCACAGAUAUGGUAGCCACGGCCAACAACCGUCAGACCUUUGUCAACUCGGCCAUCAGGUUUCUGCGCAAAUACAGCUUUGACGGCCUUGACCUUGACUGGGAGUACCCAGGAAGCCAGGGGAGCCCUGCCGUAGACAAGGAGCGCUUCACAACCCUGGUACAGGACUUGGCCAAUGCCUUCCAGCAGGAAGCCCAGACCUCAGGGAAGGAACGCCUUCUUCUGAGUGCAGCGGUUCCAGCUGGGCAGACCUAUGUGGAUGCUGGAUACGAGGUGGACAAAAUCGCCCAGAACCUGGAUUUUGUCAACCUUAUGGCCUACGACUUCCAUGGCUCUUGGGAGAAGGUCACGGGACAUAACAGCCCCCUCUACAAGAGGCAAGAAGAGAGUGGUGCAGCAGCCAGCCUCAACGUGGAUGCUGCUGUGCAACAGUGGCUGCAGAAGGGGACCCCUGCCAGCAAGCUGAUCCUUGGCAUGCCUACCUACGGACGCUCCUUCACACUGGCCUCCUCAUCAGACACCAGAGUGGGGGCCCCAGCCACAGGGUCUGGCACUCCAGGCCCCUUCACCAAGGAAGGAGGGAUGCUGGCCUACUAUGAAGUCUGCUCCUGGAAGGGGGCCACCAAACAGAGAAUCCAGGAUCAGAAGGUGCCCUACAUCUUCCGGGACAACCAGUGGGUGGGCUUUGAUGAUGUGGAGAGCUUCAAAACCAAGGUCAUGCUUACGUUAAGACAAGGAGACUGCAAAAUGACUGAUGUCCAAGCAGCAUGAGGACUCAGCAUCCAGGCUCCCAGCCCAAGGCUGUCUCCAGAAUCUACAGCCACUCACAGGCCUGAGGCUGCUGGAGCAAAAAGGGCCCUGUCCAGAAGAGGUCAGCUAUCUGAAGCAGAAGGGACUGGGCGGGGCCAUGGUCUGGGCACUGGACUUAGAUGACUUUGCCGGCUUCUCCUGCAACCAGGGCCGAUACCCCCUCAUCCAGACGCUACGGCAGGAACUGAAUGGGUAAAGCCUUAACUGCCUGUCACAUGUGAGGCCAGGUGUUGCCUGUGGCACUGUGCUUCAGCUGUAGGUCUUCCAUACUUGCCUUCAGGCACCCCAGAGCUUGAAGUUCCAAAACCAGGUCAGCCCUCUGAACCUGAGCAUGGCCCCAGCCCUGGACAAGACACGUUCUGCCAGGGCAAAGCUGAUGGGCUCUAUCCCAAUCCUCGGGAACGGUCCAGCUUCUACAGCUGUGCAGCGGGGCGGCUGUUCCAGCAAAGCUGCCCGACAGGCCUGGUGUUCAGCAACUCCUGCAAAUGCUGCACCUGGAAUUGAGUCGCUAAAGCCCCUCCAGUCCCAGCUUUGAGGCUGGGCCCAGGAUCACUCUACAGCCUGCCUCCUGGGUUUUCCCUGGGGGCCGCAAUCUGGCUCCUGCAGGCCUUUCUGUGGUCUUCCUUUAUCCAGGCUUUCUGCUCUCAGCCUUGCCUUCCUUUUUUCUGGGUCUCCUGGGCUGCCCCUUUCACUUGCAAAAUAAAUCUUUGGUUUGUGCCCCUCUUCCCAAAGAUGUGGUGACUUAAGAGGCUCUCUAAGCACACUGUUGACUCCAAAACAUCCGCAGGUCAGAGCCAGGUGGGAAGGUGGUCCGUGCAGGAUGUGCCAGGCCCUGUGGCAGGUCUUGCCCCAUGAGUCCAUAUGCCAGUGGGCAGUUUCCAGUACACAGGUGAUGGCAGCCAGAGCGCGGCCCCAAGUGCAACACGUUCUUUGGUUAUUGGCUCAGAAGCCUGGAAACAGGAGCUUCUGCGGACCUUCACGCACGUGUUAUUCCCAAAAUGCCACUAGAUGGCAGCAGAGAAGAACUUUUCCCUGAUUUAAGCGCUCUGCGAGCAGCCACUCAGCAUUACACUAAGAAUUCAGACCCCUGGUACUCAGGGGUCUUCGAGAUAAAUCCUGUUUGGGCCCUUUGCAGGCCCUAUCUCACCUACUGCCCCCGUUCACCAGAUGAAGAAGGAACAAUGAUUAUUCUCACUUUAUAGGCAUUUAAACUGAAGACUGAUUCUAACCAAUUCUGAGUCCAGAACCAAGGCCUGAAAUGGGCCAGAGAGCAUGCACACGGUGUCCUGGUUAAAUAAAGUCAUCCCAACAUUC
This is an RNA transcript of Homo sapiens (human), 2476 nucleotides long. It is a transcript of the gene named chitinase 1, with no coding region annotated. NCBI's taxonomy places the organism in Eukaryota, Metazoa, Chordata, Mammalia, Primates, Hominidae. The record is from RefSeq and is marked reviewed. The transcript is spliced from 13 exons.